This 253-nucleotide ribosomal RNA is filed under the name uncultured bacterium. Its description in RNAcentral is "partial 16S ribosomal RNA". It matches the Rfam family "Bacterial small subunit ribosomal RNA", at positions 15 to 263 of the family's 1533-position model. The record is from RNAcentral.
GAUCAUGGCUCAGGAUGAACGCUAGCUACAGGCUUAACACAUGCAAGUCGAGGGGCAGCAUUUUUAUAGCAAUAUAAAGAUGGCGACCGGCGCACGGGUGAGUAACACGUAUCCAACCUGCCGAUAACUCGGGGAUAACCCUUCGAAAGAAGGCCUAAUACCCGAUGGCAUAUCCCUUCCGCCUGGUGGGGAUAUUAAAGAACUUCGGUUAUCGAUGGGGAUGCGUUCCAUUAGCUUGUUGGCGGGGUAACGG